This 254-nucleotide ribosomal RNA is filed under the name uncultured bacterium. RNAcentral describes it as "partial 16S ribosomal RNA". It matches the Rfam family "Bacterial small subunit ribosomal RNA", at positions 524 to 776 of the family's 1533-position model. The record is from RNAcentral.
GACGUAGGGCGCGAGCGUUGUCCGGAAUUAUUGGGCGUAAAGAGCUCGUAGGCGGUUCGGCAAGUCGGAUGUGAAAUCUCCACGCUUAACGUGGAGGGGCCAUUCGAAACUGCCGUGACUCGAGUCCGGUAGGGGAGUGCGGAAUUCCCGGUGUAGCGGUGAAAUGCGCAGAUAUCGGGAGGAACACCAGUGGCGAAGGCGGCACUCUGGGCCGGAACUGACGCUGAGGAGCGAAAGCGUGGGGAGCGAACAGG